Molecule: non-coding RNA, 74 nt
Organism: Chaetoceros tenuissimus
Lineage: Eukaryota; Bacillariophyta; Thalassiosirophyceae; Chaetocerotales; Chaetocerotaceae
Source: the annotation of a GenBank genome assembly
CGCUUAUAGCUCAAUUGGAUAGAGCGUCGGGUUUCGGUUCCGAAGGUUAUAGGUUCGAGUCCUUUUAAGCGUAA